UUUCCGUAGGUGAACCUGCGGAAAGAUCAUUAAUGAGUUGUCAUGGGGUUCGAUGCUGGCAGCCAGUUUUUGGAUGCAUGUGCUUGCCCUAACAAUCAUCUUCUUCCAAACACCUGUGCACAUUUUUGAGGGAGUCUUGAGUUGGUUGCCGCUCUUGGGUGAUUUUCUCACAUUCCCUUAAAUCAUUAUACGCUAUUAACAAUGUUGAACGUGCUCUGUGCCGCAAGGCCAUUAAUAUAAUACAACUUUUAACAACGGAUCUCUUGGCUCUC
Molecule: unclassified non-coding RNA, 272 nt
Filed under: plant metagenome
Description: partial contains small subunit ribosomal RNA, internal transcribed spacer 1, and 5.8S ribosomal RNA
Source: RNAcentral